RNAcentral lists this signal recognition particle RNA (148 nucleotides) under Gorilla gorilla gorilla (western lowland gorilla). Its description in RNAcentral is "Metazoan signal recognition particle RNA". It matches the Rfam family "Metazoan signal recognition particle RNA". Rfam says of the family: The signal recognition particle (SRP) is a universally conserved ribonucleoprotein. It is involved in the co-translational targeting of proteins to membranes. Lineage: Eukaryota; Metazoa; Chordata; Mammalia; Primates; Hominidae. The record is from Rfam by way of RNAcentral.
GCCAGGCGUGGUAGCGCGCGCCUGUAAUCCCAGCUACUUAGGAGGCUGAGGCAGGAGAAUCGCUUGAACCCAGGAGGUAGAGGUUGCAGUGAGCCGAGAUCAUGCCACUGCACUCCAGCCUGGGCCACAGAGCGAGAUUCUGUCUCAA